ACUAAGCGUACACGGUGGAUGCCCUGGCAGUCAGAGGCGAUGAAGGGCGUGCUAAUCUGCGAUAAGCGCCGGUAAGGUGAUAUGAACCGUUAUAACCGGCGAUACCCGAAUGGGGAAACCCAGUGUGAUUCGUCACACUAUCAUUAACUGAAUCCAUAGGUUAAUGAGGCGAACCGGGGGAACUGAAACAUCUAAGUACCCCGAGGAAAAGAAAUCAACCGAGAUUCCCCCAGUAGCGGCGAGCGAACGGGGAGGAGCCCAGAGCCUGAAUCAGCAUGUGUGUUAGUGGAAGCGUCUGGAAAGGCGCGCGAUACAGGGUGACAGCCCCGUACACAAAAGCGCAUGUGCUGUGAGCUCGAUGAGUAGGGCGGGACACGUGGUAUCCUGUCUGAAUAUGGGGGGACCAUCCUCCAAGGCUAAAUACUCCUGACUGACCGAUAGUGAACCAGUACCGUGAGGGAAAGGCGAAAAGAACCCCGGCGAGGGGAGUGAAAAAGAACCUGAAACCGUGUACGUACAAGCAGUGGGAGCCCCACCACCAAAGCNGCUUUGGGGUGGGGUGACUGCGUACCUUUUGUAUAAUGGGUCAGCGACUUAUAUUCUGUAGCAAGGUUAACCGAAUAGGGGAGCCGGAGGGAAACCGAGUCUUAACCGGGCGUUAAGUUGCAGGGUAUAGACCCGAAACCCGGUGAUCUAGCCAUGGGCAGGUUGAAGGUUGGGUAACACUAACUGGAGGACCGAACCGACUAAUGUUGAAAAAUUAGCGGAUGACCUGUGGCUGGGGGUGAAAGGCCAAUCAAACCGGGAGAUAGCUGGUUCUCCCCGAAAGCUAUUUAGGUAGCGCCUCGUGAAUUCAUCUCCGGGGGUAGAGCACUGUUUCGGCUAGGGGGCCAUCCCGGCUUACCAACCCGAUGCAAACUGCGAAUACCGGAGAAUGUUAUCACGGGAGACACACGGCGGGUGCUAACGUCCGUCGUGAAGAGGGAAACAACCCAGACCGCCAGCUAAGGUCCCAAAGUCAUGGUUAAGUGGGAAACGAUGUGGGAAGGCCCAGACAGCCAGGAUGUUGGCUUAGAAGCAGCCAUCAUUUAAAGAAAGCGUAAUAGCUCACUGGUCGAGUCGGCCUGCGCGGAAGAUGUAACGGGGCUAAACCAUGCACCGAAGCUGCGGCAGCGACGCUUAUGCGUUGUUGGGUAGGGGAGCGUUCUGUAAGCCUGUGAAGGUGGCCUGUGAGGGUUGCUGGAGGUAUCAGAAGUGCGAAUGCUGACAUAAGUAACGAUAAAGCGGGUGAAAAGCCCGCUCGCCGGAAGACCAAGGGUUCCUGUCCAACGUUAAUCGGGGCAGGGUGAGUCGACCCCUAAGGCGAGGCCGAAAGGCGUAGUCGAUGGGAAACGGGUUAAUAUUCCCGUACUUGGUGUUACUGCGAAGGGGGGACGGAGAAGGCUAUGUUGGCCGGGCGACGGUUGUCCCGGUUUAAGCGUGUAGGUGUGUGUUCCAGGUAAAUCCGGUUCACUUUAACACUGAGGCGUGAUGACGAGGCACUACGGUGCUGAAGCAACAAAUGCCCUGCUUCCAGGAAAAGCCUCUAAGCAUCAGGUAACAUCAAAUCGUACCCCAAACCGACACAGGUGGUCAGGUAGAGAAUACCAAGGCGCUUGAGAGAACUCGGGUGAAGGAACUAGGCAAAAUGGUGCCGUAACUUCGGGAGAAGGCACGCUGACACGUAGGUGAAGUGAUUUACUCAUGGAGCUGAAGUCAGUCGAAGAUACCAGCUGGCUGCAACUGUUUAUUAAAAACACAGCACUGUGCAAACACGAAAGUGGACGUAUACGGUGUGACGCCUGCCCGGUGCCGGAAGGUUAAUUGAUGGGGUCAGCGCAAGCGAAGCUCCUGAUCGAAGCCCCGGUAAACGGCGGCCGUAACUAUAACGGUCCUAAGGUAGCGAAAUUCCUUGUCGGGUAAGUUCCGACCUGCACGAAUGGCGUAAUGAUGGCCAGGCUGUCUCCACCCGAGACUCAGUGAAAUUGAACUCGCUGUGAAGAUGCAGUGUACCCGCGGCAAGACGGAAAGACCCCGUGAACCUUUACUAUAGCUUGACACUGAACAUUGAGCCUUGAUGUGUAGGAUAGGUGGGAGGCUUUGAAGNUGGAGCCGACCUUGAAAUACCACCCUUUAAUGUUUGAUGUUCUAACGUGGACCCGUUACCCGGGUUGCGGACAGUGUCUGGUGGGUAGUUUGACUGGGGCGGUCUCCUCCUAAAGAGUAACGGAGGAGCACGAAGGUUGGCUAAUCCUGGUCGGACAUCAGGAGGUUAGUGCAAUGGCAUAAGCCAGCUUGACUGCGAGCGUGACGGCGCGAGCAGGUGCGAAAGCAGGUCAUAGUGAUCCGGUGGUUCUGAAUGGAAGGGCCAUCGCUCAACGGAUAAAAGGUACUCCGGGGAUAACAGGCUGAUACCGCCCAAGAGUUCAUAUCGACGGCGGUGUUUGGCACCUCGAUGUCGGCUCAUCACAUCCUGGGGCUGAAGUAGGUCCCAAGGGUAUGGCUGUUCGCCAUUUAAAGUGGUACGCGAGCUGGGUUUAGAACGUCGUGAGACAGUUCGGUCCCUAUCUGCCGUGGGCGCUGGAGAACUGAGGGGGGCUGCUCCUAGUACGAGAGGACCGGAGUGGACGCAUCACUGGUGUUCGGGUUGUCAUGCCAAUGGCACUGCCCGGUAGCUAAAUGCGGAAGAGAUAAGUGCUGAAAGCAUCUAAGCACGAAACUUGCCCCGAGAUGAGUUCUCCCUGAGACUUAGAGUCUCCUGAAGGAACGUUGAAGACGACGACGUUGAUAGGCCGGGUGUGUAAGCGCAGCGAUGCGUUGAGCUAACCGGUACUAAUGAACCGUGAGGCUUAACC
RNAcentral lists this ribosomal RNA (2894 nucleotides) under Salmonella enterica subsp. enterica serovar Weltevreden. Its description in RNAcentral is "bacterial LSU rRNA". It matches the Rfam family "Bacterial large subunit ribosomal RNA". The record is from RNAcentral. Lineage: Bacteria; Pseudomonadati; Pseudomonadota; Gammaproteobacteria; Enterobacterales; Enterobacteriaceae.